GUCAGAUGUGAAAUCCCCGGGCUCAACCUGGGAACUGCAUCUGAUACUGGCAAGCUUGAGUCUCGUAGAGGGGGGUAGAAUUCCAGGUGUAGCGGUGAAAUGCGUAGAGAUCUGGAGGAAUACCGGUGGCGAAGGCGGCCCCCUGGACGAAGACUGACGCUCAGGUGCGAAAGCGUGGGGAGCAAACAGGAUUAGAUACCCUGGUAGUCCACGCCGUAAACGAUGUCGACUUGGAGGUUGUGCCCUUGAGGCGUGGCUUCCGGAGCUAACGCGUUAAGUCGACCGCCUGGGGAGUACGGCCGCAAGGUUAAAACUCAAAUGAAUUGACGGGGGCCCGCACAAGCGGUGGAGCAUGUGGUUUAAUUCGAUGCAACGCGAAGAACCUUACCUGGUCUUGACAUCCACGGAAGUUUUCAGAGAUGAGAAUGUGCCUUCGGGAACCGUGAGACAGGUGCUGCAUGGCUGUCGUCAGCUCGUGUUGUGAAAUGUUGGGUUAAGUCCCGCAACGAGCGCAACCCUUAUCCUUUGUUGCCAGCGGUCCGGCCGGGAACUCAAAGGAGACUGCCAGUGAUAAACUGGAGGAAGGUGGGGAUGACGUCAAGUCAUCAUGGCCCUUACGACCAGGGCUACACACGUGCUACAAUGGCGCAUACAAAGAGAAGCGACCUCGCGAGAGCAAGCGGACCUCAUAAAGUGCGUCGUAGUCCGGAUUGGAGUCUGCAACUCGACUCCAUGAAGUCGGAAUCGCUAGUAAUCGUGGAUCAGAAUGCCACGGUGAAUACGUUCCCGGGCCUUGUACACACCGCCCGUCACACCAUGGGAGUGGGUUGCAAAAGAAGUAGGUAGCUUAACCUUCGGGAGGGCGCUUACCACUUUGUGAUUCAUGACUGGGGUGAAGUCGUAACAAGGUAACCGUAGGGGAACCUGCGGUUGGAUCACCUCCUUACCUUAAAGAAGC
This 958-nucleotide ribosomal RNA is filed under the name Escherichia coli. RNAcentral's name for it is "bacterial SSU rRNA". It matches the Rfam family "Bacterial small subunit ribosomal RNA", at positions 587 to 1533 of the family's 1533-position model. The record is from RNAcentral. Lineage: Bacteria; Pseudomonadati; Pseudomonadota; Gammaproteobacteria; Enterobacterales; Enterobacteriaceae.